Molecule: long non-coding RNA, 424 nt
Organism: Polypterus senegalus (gray bichir)
Lineage: Eukaryota; Metazoa; Chordata; Cladistia; Polypteriformes; Polypteridae
Exons: 3
Source: RefSeq, a predicted model, not a curated record
UUCUCUCUCACACACUCUUUCCAUCUCUUUCUUUCUCUCUCUCUCUGAAAUUCCAGCUUGUUUACUCAGCUCGGGGUCCUGAUACUGCGAUCCCCUCCACUCCUGCACAUCUUCCUCCAGAUUCCUCAAAACAGAAGAUUGACAGAGUGCCAUUCCACCACCGACUUCACUUCCGUUACCCGCCCUCAUGGACCCGCCCCUUCCUGCCUGGAACCCAUACCACCGGAAGUUCGGCCAUUUUGAAGCAAUUCAAUUCUGAGCUCUCGUCUGAAAAACCAGCCCAAGACCCUGCCACUUAAUGACAUCACCACCAGUCUGGCCCCUAUUGAUGUCAGUUCCUGCACUCUCUAAUACCCAGAAUUCACCUCCCUGCCACAUCAAUUCCUGUUCCGGACUCCCUGACUCCACCUCUUCCUCCAUUCAG